This 506-nucleotide ribosomal RNA is filed under the name uncultured bacterium. RNAcentral's name for it is "partial 16S ribosomal RNA". It matches the Rfam family "Bacterial small subunit ribosomal RNA", at positions 29 to 523 of the family's 1533-position model. The record is from RNAcentral.
AGUGAACGCUGGCGGUAGGCCUAACGCAUGCAAGUCGAACGGCAGCACAGGAGAGCUUGCUCUCUGGGUGGCGAGUGGCGGACGGGUGAGGAAUACAUCGGAAUCUACUCUGUCGUGGGGGAUAACGUAGGGAAACUUACGCUAAUACCGCAUACGACCUACGGGUGAAAGCAGGGGAUCUUCGGACCUUGCGCGAUUGAAUGAGUCGAUGUCGGAUUAGCUAGUUGGCGGGGUAAAGGCCCACCAAGGCGACGAUCCGUAGCUGGUCUGAGAGGAUGAUCAGCCACACUGGAACUGAGACACGGUCCAGACUCCUACGGGAGGCAGCAGUGGGGAAUAUUGGACAAUGGGCGCAAGCCUGAUCCAGCCAUACCGCGUGGGUGAAGAAGGCCUUCGGGUUGUAAAGCCCUUUUGUUGGGAAAGAAAUCCAGCUGGCUAAUACCCGGUUGGGAUGACGGUACCCAAAGAAUAAGCACCGGCUAACUUCGUGCCAGCCGCCGCCGUAA